RNAcentral lists this unclassified non-coding RNA (168 nucleotides) under Habropoda laboriosa. RNAcentral's name for it is "ribonuclease P protein subunit p14-like, transcript variant X2". Lineage: Eukaryota; Metazoa; Arthropoda; Insecta; Hymenoptera; Apidae. The record is from RNAcentral.
UGCUCUUUGUACUGAAAAGGCGUGAAUAAAAUGCCGCAGUGUUUGUACGAAACUUCUGCAAAAGUGCUGUAUUAAAUUCGUGAAUAUUCAAUAACACUGCCACAACAUAACCCUGACUUUAUAAUAUCUGCAGUCUAUCUAAAGAAGAAUAUUCUGCAAUCUGUAAGA